UACGAAGGGUGCAAACGUUGCUCGGAAUUAUUGGGCGUAAAGCGCACGUAGGCGGCUUGGCAAGUCGGAUGUGAAAUCCCUCGGCUCAACCAAGGAAGUGCAUCCGAAACUGCUGAGCUUGAGUACUUAAGAGGAUCGCGGAAUUCCCGGUGUAGAGGUGAAAUGCGUAGAGAUCAUGAGGAAGACCAGUGGCGAAGGCGGGUCUCUGGACAGUUCCUGACACUGAGGCACGAAGGCCAGGGGAGCAAACGGG
RNAcentral lists this ribosomal RNA (253 nucleotides) under uncultured bacterium. RNAcentral describes it as "partial 16S ribosomal RNA". It matches the Rfam family "Bacterial small subunit ribosomal RNA", at positions 524 to 776 of the family's 1533-position model. The record is from RNAcentral.